AACGAACGCUGGCGGCAUGCCUAACACAUGCAAGUCGAACGAGACCUUCGGGUCUAGUGGCGCACGGGUGCGUAACGCGUGGGAACCUGCCCUUAGGUUCGGAAUAACUCCCCGAAAGGGGUGCUAAUACCGGAUAAUAUCUUCGGACCAAAGAUUUAUCGCCUUUGGAUGGGCCCGCGUUGGAUUAGCUAGUUGGUAGGGUAAAAGCCUACCAAGGCGACGAUCCAUAGCUGGUCUGAGAGGAUGAUCAGCCACACUGGGACUGAGACACGGCCCAGACUCCUACGGGAGGCAGCAGUGGGGAAUAUUGGACAAUGGGCGAAAGCCUGAUCCAGCAAUGCCGCGUGAGUGAUGAAGGCCUUAGGGUUGUAAAGCUCUUUUAACCGGGAUGAUAAUGACAGUACCGGGAGAAUAAGCUCCGGCUAACUCCGUG
This 433-nucleotide ribosomal RNA is filed under the name uncultured bacterium. Its description in RNAcentral is "partial 16S ribosomal RNA". It matches the Rfam family "Bacterial small subunit ribosomal RNA", at positions 29 to 507 of the family's 1533-position model. The record is from RNAcentral.